This 549-nucleotide unclassified non-coding RNA is filed under the name Hevea brasiliensis (rubber tree). The record is from RNAcentral. Lineage: Eukaryota; Viridiplantae; Streptophyta; Magnoliopsida; Malpighiales; Euphorbiaceae.
GCAAAAGUUUCAUGCAGCUGCACUACCGUUCUCUUGUAGCAUACAGAAUUUGAAGCCAUGGAUCUCAUGUCAUACGUCACAGCUACGCAAAGAAGCAGCUAUAUCGAUCAGGUCCGCUUGACGGGGUCGAAGUUGGAGACGGCGACGACGGCGCCGACGAUGGCGACGAGCACGACGCCGCCGGACGCGAUGCUGAGCAGGAAGUUCUUGAGCGACGGCGACAGCGCCGGCGCCGCCUCCGCCACCUCGGGCACCGCCAGCGCCGCCGCCACGGCCGCCACCGCGGCUAUCCCCGCCGCCGCGGCAGCAGCUGAGGCCUUCUCCCUCCUCACCGGCUCCCCCGACGACGACGCCCGGACGACGACGGCCCGCCGUGCCGCCGCCGGGGAGGCGGCUUUCAUCGGCGCCGCCGGCGACGAGACGCGAGCCAGCGGCCUCCCGAGCCCCCCGGCCACGGACAGAGACGCCGCAACGGCGGUCGCGGUGGCGGCCAUGGAUCGAUGGAGGUGUCUCCUCUCGCGCUUGCUUGUGAAGAGGAGGAGAUCGAUG